Boleophthalmus pectinirostris (great blue-spotted mudskipper) is the source of this 253-nucleotide long non-coding RNA. RefSeq lists it as uncharacterized. The transcript has 3 exons. NCBI's taxonomy places the organism in Eukaryota, Metazoa, Chordata, Actinopteri, Gobiiformes, Gobiidae. The record is from RefSeq and is a predicted model, not a curated record.
GAGGAAAAAAGAAAAUAUCCCAGGGGACUGAAAAACAUCAACAGAUUUCUUCAGAAUCAGUGAGGAAUUGGCUAGUUAGCUUCCACACCCAGACUACUUCUUUGGCAAAGUUUCGACUUACAAGUGGUGAGAAAAGUGUGACACUGGCUGUUACAACACAGGCCUUGAACUAAGGAGUAACAAGGGCUGUCCAACUCACCAUGUUCUCGAGCCAUGGGGAGCUGCCUCUGGCUCCAAAACCAGAUCCGAAAUG